This 400-nucleotide ribosomal RNA is filed under the name uncultured Glomeromycotina. RNAcentral describes it as "eukaryotic LSU rRNA". It matches the Rfam family "Eukaryotic large subunit ribosomal RNA", at positions 366 to 663 of the family's 3401-position model. Lineage: Eukaryota; Fungi; Glomeromycota. The record is from RNAcentral.
GAAAAGAACUUUGAAAAGAGAGUUAAACAGUACGUGAAAUUGUUGAUAGGGAAACGAUUGAAGUCAGUCAUGCCGGCGAGAAAUCAGCCUACAGGCUACUGUGGGUGCACUUUUUUGCAAGGCAGGUUAACAUCGAUUUUGAUCGUCAUAAAAUGAUCGGAGGAAUGUAGCUUCGAUUUAGAUCGAAGUGUUAUAGCCUUUGGUAGAUGUGACGAUUGUGAUCGAGGAUUGCAACGAAUACCCUUUGGACCAUUUGGGUUAUCCGUCUAGCCUUUGAAAGUCGCUUGGGUGUCGAAAGCGUGCUUAUGGCUAUCCAAGUUGGCGGUCAACAGGUUAGAACGUGAUUACAUUCGUUAAGGAUGUUGACGUAAUGGCUUUAAACGACCCGUCUUGAAACACG